UUGACUUAUUAAAAUAAGACGCUCAGAUUACUUAAAAAUAGCAAGAGUUUAGUAGUCCACCGGCAGGCGCUACAGGGUAAGCCGUUCCCGGGUAGGUCGCUACAGGGUAGCUCGCUACAGGGUAGGUUCGCCCAGCAACAUCUGCCGAGGCAACAGUGGUAAGUUCACAUGGGUUUGGGAGUUAGAUAACUCUGUAAUGAUCCCUCCGCUGGUUCACCAACGGAGA
RNAcentral lists this unclassified non-coding RNA (226 nucleotides) under uncultured fungus. Its description in RNAcentral is "sequence contains ITS1, 5.8S rRNA gene". Lineage: Eukaryota; Fungi. The record is from RNAcentral.